RNAcentral lists this transfer RNA (76 nucleotides) under Vibrio parahaemolyticus. Its description in RNAcentral is "tRNA-Val". It matches the Rfam family "tRNA". From Rfam's summary of the family: Transfer RNA (tRNA) molecules are approximately 80 nucleotides in length. Their secondary structure includes four short double-helical elements and three loops (D, anti-codon, and T loops). The record is from RNAcentral. Lineage: Bacteria; Pseudomonadati; Pseudomonadota; Gammaproteobacteria; Vibrionales; Vibrionaceae.
GGGCGAUUAGCUCAGUUGGGAGAGCACCUGCCUUACACGCAGGAGGUCUGCGGUUCGAUCCCGGCAUAGCCCACCA